This 1036-nucleotide long non-coding RNA is filed under the name Betta splendens (Siamese fighting fish). RNAcentral describes it as "lncRNA (ENSBSLG00000015315.1)". The record is from RNAcentral. Lineage: Eukaryota; Metazoa; Chordata; Actinopteri; Anabantiformes; Osphronemidae.
AUUUUCUCACCCAAUGAAAACAGACCACGACCUACUCUGAGACCGGGUCCCAGUUGUCGUCACCUUGGUCGGAAGUUUUCCCUGCAAAUCCUGAACCACCACCCCCACAAUGAUCCCGAACCAAAACUGGACUUCCGCCAUUUCCCCCCUCUCACUCACCGUGAACAGACAAGCACGGCAGCGUUCCAGUCCUCCCAUAGAAAUAGUUCGGUUCUUGGAUGUUCUAACCAACACCAAAGUCUAUUCACUUUAACAAGGGAUCAACAAGUGAGGAUUUGUGGGUCACUUUUAUUUUUAACGGACCGGUGCCAGAAACACUGCGUCAGCAUUUAUACGUAUGUGCAUUUCAAACGAGGGUGCGUACAAGUCCGUCAUCCACUCACUGAAGGAGCCACAUCCCAGUUACCUACAUGCAAGGAGGCUGUCAAACAGAGAAAUCACUGCAGACUGUUGGUACACAGGCAUCUGCUGCCCAGCUCAGGAGUAAAGGUAUGUAAGUUUGUAUGUACCAACAGUAAGAUAGGCAAUAGAAGAUUUUAAUUGGUAUAUACUGUUUAGAUUUUAUAUUUGAAUUGUAACAACUGUUUAUCUGUUGUUUUAGCACAGACAGGCCUGUCCUCUUGUUUGGUUUAAUUUUUUUUCUGGUAUUGUGUGUUCUUACAUUAGAGAAGGUUUUGACCUACAUAAUAAUGAACAUUUCACUAAUCUACAAUUCUGAUUGCAGUACCUUUUUGUUUCGAUGAGGUGAUGGUGAGGACAGCCACAGCUUCCAUCUGGUAGAGGACUGCUUCCGCUCAGUCUUCCAAAUAGUGAUGAGAACAAGGAUCACCACAUCUCCCUGUUUACCCUACUUUCAUGCAUUUUGUCUGCAAGGCCCUGCAAAAGCUUCUGUCCUCAGACCCCCAGACUUCUUAAUUAACUCAGUAACCUAUACAUUGCACAUUGGAGUGUGAAGGUAACAGUUUGUUCUAGCUUUGGAGUAGUGGUGCAUUUUUUUGGUUUACAAUAAAGUUGGCUUUAACUAUUAUGUAUUUCA